GAUUAACGCUGGCGGCAUGCCUAAUACAUGCAAGUCGAACGAAUCACUUCGGUGGUUAGUGGCGAACGGGUGAGUAAUACGUAAGCAACCUGCCUAUGGGACUGGGAUAACGUUUGGAAACGGACGCUAAUACCGGAUAGGUAGAGAGGAGGCAUCUCUUCUCUAUUAAAGUUUAGAUACACCGAUAGAUGGGCUUACGGCGCAUUAGCUAGUUGGUGAGGUAACGGCUCACCAAGGCGAUGAUGCGUAGCCGGACUGAGAGGUUGAACGGCCACAUUGGGACUGAGAAACGGCCCAAACUCCUACGGGAGGCAGCAGUGAGGAAUAUUGGUCAAUGGACGAGAGUCUGAACCAGCCAAGUAGCGUGAAGGAUGACUGCCCUAUGGGUUGUAAACUUCUUUGUUUGGGAAUAAAGUGAGGGACGUGUCCCUUUUGUAUGUACCAUUCGAAUAAGCAUCGGCUAAUUCCGUG
Molecule: ribosomal RNA, 471 nt
Filed under: uncultured bacterium
Lineage: Bacteria
Description: bacterial SSU rRNA
Rfam family: Bacterial small subunit ribosomal RNA
Source: RNAcentral